This is a small nuclear RNA of Cervus hanglu yarkandensis (Yarkand deer), 99 nucleotides long. The record is from Ensembl. NCBI's taxonomy places the organism in Eukaryota, Metazoa, Chordata, Mammalia, Artiodactyla, Cervidae.
AUACUAACUUCGUCAGCACACAUAGUAAAAUCAGAAUGAUACACAGAAGAUUAGCAUGAGCCCUGCACAAAGAUGACAAGCAAAGUAAUAAAAGUAUUU